UACGAAGGGGGCUAGCGUUGCUCGGAUUUACUGGGCGUAAAGCGCGUGUAGGCGCUCGGCAAGUCGGAUGUGAAAGCCCUGGGCUUAACCUAGGAAGUGCAUUCGAAACUGCCAAGCUUGAGUUCUGGAGAGGAAGGCGGAAUUCUCGGUGUAGAGGUGAAAUUCGUAGAUAUCGAGAGGAACACCGGUGGCGAAGGCGGCCUUCUGGACAGCAACUGACGCUGAGACGCGAAAGCGUGGGGAGCAAACAGGAUUAAGAAACCCCU
This 266-nucleotide ribosomal RNA is filed under the name uncultured bacterium. Its description in RNAcentral is "partial 16S ribosomal RNA". It matches the Rfam family "Bacterial small subunit ribosomal RNA", at positions 524 to 788 of the family's 1533-position model. The record is from RNAcentral.